AACGACGCACCUGCAACAACUGUUGAAAAGAGGAACGGUAUAUAAGUGCCGACAGUCUUCCACUGCUUCAUACGUAUUCUUACAGCAAGAUGAUGACCACGUUGGUUGUAUUAUCUCUACUUGUUGCCACUGCGCUAGUGGCCGUCUCGGCUGCGCCCGUGCAGCGCGGUCUUACUACAUGCGCGAGUUUGCUGUCUGCGUCAUCCCCAUUCACUGAGGACUAUAUUUGCAAUGCCUUCUGCGAAGAUGAUCACAAAGACGCAGGAAAGUGCAUUAACGGAUAUUGCUACUGCAGGACCGGUGGCACGUAUACUGGUUACGUUGUUGGCUAAUAAGCCAGGAAAGAGACUAAGCCAAAGUGAUGUCAGUGAUAUGUAAUUAUCAAAUAAAAUUAUUAAAAUUCUAAUUUUCA
Long non-coding RNA from Dreissena polymorpha, 412 nucleotides. RefSeq lists it as uncharacterized. The record is from RefSeq and is a predicted model, not a curated record. NCBI's taxonomy places the organism in Eukaryota, Metazoa, Mollusca, Bivalvia, Myida, Dreissenidae. The transcript is spliced from 3 exons.